RNAcentral lists this ribosomal RNA (253 nucleotides) under uncultured bacterium. Its description in RNAcentral is "partial 16S ribosomal RNA". It matches the Rfam family "Bacterial small subunit ribosomal RNA", at positions 524 to 776 of the family's 1533-position model. The record is from RNAcentral.
UACGUAGGGGGCAAGCGUUAUCCGGAUUUACUGGGUGUAAAGGGAGCGUAGACGGCAUGGCAAGCCAGAUGUGAAAUACCGGGGCUCAACCCCGGGACUGCAUUUGGAACUGUUAAGCUGGAGUGUCGGAGAGGCAGGCGGAAUUCCUAGUGUAGCGGUGAAAUGCGUAGAUAUUAGGAGGAACACCAGUGGCGAAGGCGGCCUGCUGGACGAUGACUGACGUUGAGGCUCGAAAGCGUGGGGAGCAAACAGG